GGGAUUGCCCUAGUAACGGCGAGUGAAGCGGCAACAGCUCAAAUUUGAAAUCUGGCUCACGCCCGAGUUGUAAUUUGUAGAGGAUGCUUUUGGUGCGGUGCCUUCUGAGUUCCCUGGAACGGGACGCCAUAGAGGGUGAGAGCCCCGUAUAGUUGGACACCAAGCCUCUGUAAAGCUCCUUCGACGAGUCGAGUAGUUUGGGAAUGCUGCUCAAAAUGGGAGGUAAAUUUCUUCUAAAGCUAAAUACCGGCCAGAGACCGAUAGCGCACAAGUAGAGUGAUCGAAAGAUGAAAAGCACUUUGAAAAGAGGGUUAAACAGCACGUGAAAUUGUUGAAAGGGAAGCGCUCGUGACCAGACUUGCGCCUUGCGAAUCAUCCAGCGUUCUCGCUGGUGCACUUCGCUUGGCUCAGGCCAGCAUCGGUUUUCCUAGGGAGAUAAAGACAGCGGGAACGUAGCUCUCUACGGGGAGUGUUAUAGCCUGUUGUACAAUAUCCUUGGGGGGACCGAGGUUCGCGCUCUGCAAGGAUGCUGGCGUAAUGGUCAUCGGCGACCCGUCUUGAAACACGGACCAAGGAGUCAAGCAUUAGGGCGAGUGUUUGGGUGUCAAACCCGCACGCGAAAUGAAAGUGAACGUAGGUGAGAGCUUCGGCGCAUCAUCGACCGAUCCUGAUGUAUUCGGAUGGAUUUGAGUAAGAGCCUUACCGCUUGGACCCGAAAGAUGGUGAACUAUGCUUGUAUAGGGUGAAGCCAGAGGAAACUCUGGUGGAGGCUCGCAGCGGUUCUGACGUGCAAAUCGAUCGUCAAAUAUGAGCAUGGGGGCGAAAGACUAAUCGAACCAU
RNAcentral lists this ribosomal RNA (840 nucleotides) under Cancellidium griseonigrum. RNAcentral describes it as "partial large subunit ribosomal RNA". It matches the Rfam family "Eukaryotic large subunit ribosomal RNA", at positions 71 to 943 of the family's 3401-position model. The record is from RNAcentral. Lineage: Eukaryota; Fungi; Ascomycota; Sordariomycetes; Cancellidiaceae.